This 464-nucleotide ribosomal RNA is filed under the name uncultured bacterium. RNAcentral describes it as "partial 16S ribosomal RNA". It matches the Rfam family "Bacterial small subunit ribosomal RNA", at positions 339 to 795 of the family's 1533-position model. The record is from RNAcentral.
CUACGGGGGGCAGCAGUGGGGAAUAUUGGACAAUGGGGGCAACCCUGAUCCAGCCAUGCCGCGUGUGUGAAGAAGGCCUUUUGGUUGUAAAGCACUUUAAGCAGUGAAGAAGACCUAACGGUUAAUACCCGUUAGCGAUGACAUUAGCUGCAGAAUAAGCACCGGCUAACUCUGUGCCAGCAGCCGCGGUAAUACAGAGGGUGCAAGCGUUAAUCGGAAUUACUGGGCGUAAAGCGAGCGUAGGUGGCUUGAUAAGUCAGAUGUGAAAUCCCCGGGCUUAACCUGGGAACUGCAUCUGAUACUGUUAAGCUAGAGUAGGUGAGAGGGAAGUAGAAUUCCAGGUGUAGCGGUGAAAUGCGUAGAGAUCUGGAGGAAUACCGAUGGCAAAGGCAGCUUCCUGGCAUCAUACUGACACUGAGGCUCGAAAGCGUGGGUAGCAAACAGGAUUAGAUACCCCGGUAGUC